CGAGAAUGAACGGGCCUGAGGGGGCGAGUGCUUGCCAAACCAGGAACCUGCUCUCGCAGCCUGCGACCUCUGGCGGGCGGAAGGAGCGAGCGCGACUGUGAAUUUAGCCAGGUGGGCUGGGCCGGCUUGCGUCAGACUCCGCCUCCCGAGACCACGCCUCGCCGAGUCCCGGAUGUGCUCCAGGAAGGGAUAGGGUAGGCGCGGAAGUGCUGCUUACUGGGUCCUGAAUCGGCUGCGUGCUGUUCUAGGUGGGGACUUGAGAGACUGUAGAUGGGUCUAGGGAGUGGUCGAAUAUAAAUAAGCUAGAUUUUUUUUUUUUUAAUUGCAAGGGAACUCCCUAGGAAUUCCAUCCAUGGCCUUGUGGAACGAUCUGCCAAAGAAAAAAUAUUUAUCUCGGCAUCUUUCACCCUGAAGUCACGGGAACAACGCUGAGGGGCAGCCAGAGAUUAUGUGGGCUUUUCCAUGGGAAGAACCACUCUACGUUAUCACCUUCUACAUGGUAGCAGUUGAAGCCAAAUGGACAGAAAGCCCGAGACAACAUGAAGUUGUUCUACAAGUUAUUUUGGAGAAAUUGACUUACCAUACCACUCAUCAACCCAUGCAAAAGCCUGUCUAUGUCCAAUCAGCAGAAUGUCUCGGACCACCUAAAAAGUAAAAGAAGGAGACUGAAAUAAUAGCAUCUUUGAUGAAAACUAUCUGGAAGACAAGUUGUUAACAAUUCUGGGGAUCUUGGUGAUUACAGAGUUCUUAAUCCCUCUGUCCAUAGGUGAUGACAAUUACAGGCUGCCUAUAGGUCCUAUAGUGCUCACACACCUCCAGCCCU
This 823-nucleotide long non-coding RNA is filed under the name Homo sapiens (human). RNAcentral describes it as "long non-coding RNA NONHSAT176483.1". The record is from RNAcentral. Lineage: Eukaryota; Metazoa; Chordata; Mammalia; Primates; Hominidae.